This is a non-coding RNA of Rhexocercosporidium sp. MPI-PUGE-AT-0058, 97 nucleotides long. Lineage: Eukaryota; Fungi; Ascomycota; Leotiomycetes; Helotiales. The record is from the annotation of a GenBank genome assembly.
UCGCAGAUAGUGUAGGGGUUAACAUAGCCCGCUUUCAAUGUCUCAACAGACUUUGUGAAGCGCCGGGCAGCCCCGGGUUCGAUUCCCGGUACCGGAA